AUACGUAGGGUGCGAGCGUUGUCCGGAAUUACUGGGCGUAAAGAGCUCGUAGGUGGUUUGUCGCGUCGUCUGUGAAAUUCCGGGGCUUAACUCCGGGCGUGCAGGCGAUACGGGCAUAACUUGAGUACUGUAGGGGAGACUGGAAUUCCUGGUGUAGCGGUGAAGUGCGCAGAUAUCAGGAGGAACACCGGUGGCGAAGGCGGGUCUCUGGGCAGUAACUGACGCUGAGGAGCGAAAGCAUGGGUAGCGAACAGGAUUAGAUACCCUGGUAGUCCGUGCCGUAAACGGUGGGCGCUAGGUGUAGGGGUCUUCCACGACUUCUGUGCCGUAGCUAACGCAUUAAGCGCCCCGCCUGGGGAGUACGGCCGCAAGGCUAAAACUCAAAGGAAUUGACGGGG
Molecule: ribosomal RNA, 398 nt
Filed under: uncultured bacterium
Lineage: Bacteria
Description: partial 16S ribosomal RNA
Rfam family: Bacterial small subunit ribosomal RNA
Source: RNAcentral